GAAGGUAAACUUUAGAUACCACACAUGCGGUUUCGUAGUUUCUUAUUUUAGUAUCUUAUAGUUUAAAGUGUAUCAAUUUAGUUCUCUGGGGUUUCAUUUUUUUCUUUUCGUCAGCUCCUAGUUUUAUAUUUUAUUAAAUUAUAUACAAAAAACUUCAGAUACUCCACCUAAUUUUAUAGAAUAUUCACUUUAAUAUAUUUUAGUUUUAACUUUGUAACUGAUUUAACGAAAAUAAAUUAGUAGGGGUGAUAAUAAAAAGAGAAAAAUAAAACCAUGGGUACUAAAUUGAUACACUUUAAAUAUAUAAUACUAAAAUAAAAAAGUGCGAAAUCAUAUGGGUGGUAUUUAUAGUUUUCUAAAAAAAAAAAUUCAAGCUCUAAUAUUAAGUUUAUUACAAAAUCAACUAAGUUGAAUUUUGCUUCUGUAGCAAAUUGCAAUUUGCCACUCAUAACUCAGUUGAUCAAAGUUUAACUUGCCAUCACGAUCACUUGAAAUUAGACACUGGCAUUUUAGAUUAUCAUUUUUCAUAUUGGAUAUGCCCUAAAUCCGACCAAAAAUUUGAAACCCGAAAAUCCGAACCCGAAAUAAUUAUUUCUCUUUACUAUAUUUCAAUACUUAUUAUAUUACAAUCUAAAUUUUUAAAAUACAAGUGCAAACAUAAUAUCAAACAUUUAUUUAUAUAUUAUAUAAUAUAAAAUCAAUUCGGGUUCAGGUUCGGAUUGGGUAGGGACAAAAUCCAUACCCGAAUUCAAAUUCGUUGGGCUUUUAUUCUUUAUAUAUAUAUCCGAAUCAUAUCUAUUUAGAAUCAAAUAAAUCCGUAUUAUUCAAAUUCA
This 833-nucleotide long non-coding RNA is filed under the name Ananas comosus (pineapple). Its description in RNAcentral is "long non-coding RNA (ACOM_LNC004019)". Lineage: Eukaryota; Viridiplantae; Streptophyta; Magnoliopsida; Poales; Bromeliaceae. The record is from RNAcentral.